AUUGAACGCUGGCGGCAGGCCUAACACAUGCAAGUCGAGCGGAUGAAGGGAGCUUGCUCCUGGAUUCAGCGGCGGACGGGUGAGUAAUGCCUAGGAAUCUGCCUGGCAGUGGGGGAUAACGUCCGGAAACGGGCGCUAAUACCGCAUACGUCCUGAGGGAGAAAGUGGGGGAUCUUCGGACCUUACGCUAUCAGAUGAGCCUAGGUCGGAUUAGCUAGUUGGUGGGGUAAAGGCCUACCAAGGCGACGAUCCGUAACUGGUCUGAGAGGAUGAUCAGUCACACUGGAACUGAGACACGGUCCAGACUCCUACGGGAGGCAGCAGUGGGGAAUAUUGGACAAUGGGCGAAAGCCUGAUCCAGCCAUGCCGCGUGUGUGAAGAAGGUCUUCGGAUUGUAAAGCACUUUUAGUUGGGAGGAAGGGCAGUAAGUUAAUACCUUGCUGUUUUGACGUUACCAACAGAAUAAGCACCGGCUAACUUCGUG
This 484-nucleotide ribosomal RNA is filed under the name uncultured bacterium. RNAcentral's name for it is "partial 16S ribosomal RNA". It matches the Rfam family "Bacterial small subunit ribosomal RNA", at positions 30 to 507 of the family's 1533-position model. The record is from RNAcentral.